RNAcentral lists this long non-coding RNA (258 nucleotides) under Cricetulus griseus (Chinese hamster). Its description in RNAcentral is "lncRNA (ENSCGRG00015029902.1)". Lineage: Eukaryota; Metazoa; Chordata; Mammalia; Rodentia; Cricetidae. The record is from RNAcentral.
CUGGAAAGGACACUCUGAAUCCUGCUGAGCAGCCUGCAGGCUGUGAAGUAUGUUCCAGGUUCCCAGCUUUGUGUGAGCUAUCAUCCAUGCUGGGGUGAGCUUUGAUGAUAAAGCUGUCUUUGGGUCAUUUCUGCCACUGACAACUGCAUUAAGCUCUCCCAUCCCUCAUCAGACACAGCAAAACUUUCUUUCUCAUUGAGACAUGGAAUAUUUGUUCCUCCUGAUUCUCACAGGCGUUUGGAAACAGCAGAAUUGACG